Drosophila montana is the source of this 866-nucleotide long non-coding RNA. RefSeq lists it as uncharacterized. Lineage: Eukaryota; Metazoa; Arthropoda; Insecta; Diptera; Drosophilidae. The record is from RefSeq and is a predicted model, not a curated record. The transcript is spliced from 2 exons.
GUCGACUCAAUGUGAAAAUCACAAGUAGUUUCAAGUGUUUUUACAGUCAAACUGUUUUUAUUCACUUAUACAAAUAAUCCAGGGGUGCAUAUUGAGGGUUGACAUUUGGCUUCCGCCGACUCGUCUGACUCGCGUGGCUAAAAGGCAUAGCAAUCACUUCGAACAAACGAACAAUCGGUUACAAAAUUCACCACCCCCAAGGAUGGAAGAAUUCAAUUUGAAUUCUGGGGGUUACCCAGUGAAGAAUUCAAUAUUAUUUCUCUAGAUGCCAAGCACUGUUGAGAAUUCUGCCUGCCUACUUAUAUAAAACUAAAGCACGUAAGGCAACAGAAAAAUAAAAAAAGUGAAAAUAAUCGAAAAUAGAGCUAAACCGAAAAAUAAUUAAACAAAACGGAAAGACAAACCUGAAUACGUGCCUCUGGCAAACCAAUUUUUUCUGCAAGCCUCUCCCGUGCGAAAACAUCCGGAUAAUGCGUCCGUUCGAAUUCUAUCGUAAAUAGAAAAAGUAUAAAAGUUAAGCAAAUAUAUGCAAAUUUUUGUGUGCCUAUAACAUAUAUACAGAGUUAUCUAUUCGAGAUCAAUAACCUUUUUCCAAGCUGUCUAUUUGCUCGUUUGUAAAUGAAGUCCGAUUUCGCUGUAAUUUACGUUUCAGUCGUAGACGCAUUUGCGAGUCCUCGUCGCCGGAAGAAUUGUGAUCAGAAUUGCCAUCUGAUGUACUCUCAUGUGAAUUCGGAUGCGACAGAUCACCUGGAUAGAGGUCUGAAAUGGAACAUACAACGAUUCAAUUUUACUAUGUGAACAUAUUAAUGUAAUACGAUUUGCAAGCACAGUCACAUACCAUACUAUAAAGUCACCUUUAAAAAUAA